RNAcentral lists this ribosomal RNA (492 nucleotides) under uncultured bacterium. Its description in RNAcentral is "partial 16S ribosomal RNA". It matches the Rfam family "Bacterial small subunit ribosomal RNA", at positions 29 to 507 of the family's 1533-position model. The record is from RNAcentral.
AGUGAACGCUGGCGGUAGGCCUAACACAUGCAAGUCGAACGGCAGCACAGUAAGAGCUUGCUCUUACGGGUGGCGAGUGGCGGACGGGUGAGGAAUACAUCGGAAUCUACUUUUUCGUGGGGGAUAACGUAGGGAAACUUACGCUAAUACCGCAUACGACCUACGGGUUAAAGCAGUGGAUCUUCGGACCUUGCACGAUUGAAUGAGCCGAUGUCGGAUUAGCUAGUUGGCGGGGUAAAGGCCCACCAAGGCGACGAUCCGUAGCUGGUCUGAGAGGAUGAUCAGCAACACUGGACCUGAGACACGGUCCAGACUCCUACGGGAGGAAGCAGUGGGGAAUAUUGGACAAUGGGCGCAAGCCUGAUCCAGCCAUACCGCGUGGGUGAAGAAGGCCUUCGGGUUGUAAAGCCCUUUUGUUGGGAAAGAAAAGCAGCAGGUUAAUACCCCGCUGUUCUGACGGUACCCAACGAAUAAGCACCGGCUAACUUCGUG